CCAGUGUCUCACAACCUACACAGACUUCUUCAGGGGAGCAAUUCUACUGGCUGGAGAAAUGGACCGAUGAGUGGGAACCCAAAGGAAUGCAGCAAAGGAGUGAAGUACAGUUUUGGGACAUACUGUGAGAACCACAUCCUGGGGCUAUCAAUGAGGACCCAUGGGAGAACGCCAUAAGCUGUUUAUUUAGAGCAUGCUGGAGAGUAGGAGGUCCCCCACUACUGAGCCGGCGAGGACAGGAAGAGGAAAUCCGCACGUGUAGCUGAGAAAGUGGUGCAGCGCUGAAGGACGUUAUUUGCCUGCGUAUUAGACUAUUACAGGCUGACUCAUCGGAGGGUACGGGAUGAAAAAGGGCAACAACUGUUGGCGUCCCGCUGUGGGGCCUCUUCUGGAGCAGAGUGUGUGAAGAGGUUUAAAGAAAGAGAGUCAAAGCUCCUGUCAUACAGGAAAGCAGGGGCAGAGCCAACUGCCCAGCAGACAAGCGGACCAAACUGGAGGUGGUGAAGAGAACUGAGCGAGAACCAACAUCACCACAUCUGAAAGAGAGCAAAGCAGGUGAGUAAGUAGCAGUAUUUUAAAUGCAGAUGGAAGCUGGUGAUUGGUUAGCUUAUAUGGGAUAUAUUAUUUGAUUGUACUGUGCUGAGCUUUUAUGUUUAAAAUAUUUUUUCUUUUCAUUAUUGAACUAAAAUUCUACUUGCAUAACAAUACAUUUUUAAGUUUAG
This 722-nucleotide long non-coding RNA is filed under the name Astyanax mexicanus (Mexican tetra). RNAcentral's name for it is "lncRNA (ENSAMXG00005004192.1)". Lineage: Eukaryota; Metazoa; Chordata; Actinopteri; Characiformes; Acestrorhamphidae. The record is from RNAcentral.